This 66-nucleotide transfer RNA is filed under the name Ostrea lurida. Its description in RNAcentral is "tRNA-Glu". Lineage: Eukaryota; Metazoa; Mollusca; Bivalvia; Ostreida; Ostreidae. The record is from RNAcentral.
UCUAGACUAGUGUAUUUAAGCACAUAAAAUUUUCGUUUUUAUAGAGUGGGUUAUCCUCGCCUAGAU